This is a long non-coding RNA of Mus spicilegus (steppe mouse), 1576 nucleotides long. NCBI's taxonomy places the organism in Eukaryota, Metazoa, Chordata, Mammalia, Rodentia, Muridae. The record is from Ensembl.
CACUGCGCUCUAUCCUGCAGGAGUUCUAACAGAAUCAAAAGGUGGCAAGGUAGGAUAAGCAGUUUGAAAUAGUCUAGUGACCUCCAGACAACUUCGGUGACUUCCUCCCUGGGAAAGGUGACAGUAUUGGAAAGCCUGGAGAGGAGGCAAAGGCUUAGAGGACAGGAGGGACACGCAGCACCACAGCAGCAGCAUUGCCCAAUGGCAACACCUUCCAACUCCGGGCACCCCCUUCACCCACAGCGACCCCUACCCCAUGUCCCCUUGGCACUAUCCCCUCCCAGUCCAGGUGCCCCAACUCUGCCGGAGGGUUAUUUUGCCACUUUCCCAAGCACUGAAGUCUGUAACCAGGAGUGGGGGAUGGGAGGGGUGUUGAAAGAAGGAGCCUAACAGCAAUUCAAAUUUAUCUGUGUCUCCAGCACACACCUGACAGUUUUGCAGUCUGGGCCGGGCAAGUCUACAAGAGGUGGGCACUACUUAUGCGUGUGUUAUUGAGAGAGGGUGUCCUUUUUCUUUUUCUUUUCUUUUCUUUCUUUUCUUUUCUUUCUUUUUUUCCUCCAAGAGACUCUAAGCAAGUGAAGGGGGAAGGGGGUAGCAAUACGGAUUCCAAGCCGGACUGCAAACACAGAUGCAAAUGUCUGUCUCCAGACGCUGAUGUAAAGCAUGGGGCAGUUACCUUUGGCAGGGUCAGAACUGCAGCAGGUUAAUCGGGUGAGUCCUCGGGGAUUUUUUUUUUUUUUUAAUUUUUUUUUUUCAAAGCAACCGGGGCCGCCCCGGCUGCUUUUGGUUUAGAAAGUUCUACGACCCCCCCAUGCAGGGACAUCGCACAUCUCACACACGCCUCCUUGAGCUGGGCUCCCGCGACCUCGGCGGGGCGAGGGGGUGGCGGGCGGCCGGCGGGCGGCCAGGGCCCGGCCCCAGGCUGUGUCCCCGCGCGCAGCGGCCCUGCGUGGGCCCCGGGGUCCGCGUCCCGAGCGGCGCAGCACUCACCCAGCCGGGCGGCGAGGGGCCGAGCUGCGCCCGCGGCUAGCCGGAGCGCCCAGGCGCCUCCCUUCGCUCUUGGUAGCGUCGGUCCGCACUCCCUGUGACCCAGGACGUCAUGAUGCCUUCCCUGUUUUCUUAAUGAUAACUUGGCAGAAGAGGAGACAGGCUGCCAGGUUCUCCUCGGGUGGUUGCGUGGCAAAUUCUGUUUGUGCUUCACCAACUCACAAGUCAGUGGAGUGGCCAAAUGGCCCCUCUCCUUGGCAGGCAACUCAAACUCUGCAGAGGAAAGAGAGGAGUCACUCACAGUCCUGCAAGUGUUGAGGUUGCAAGGGAAGGGAUGGGAGACAGAAGAAUCCUAACAGGUCUGAAGGGAGGAACAAAGGAGAGAAGAUUUGGGAGAGAGUUGGAGUCAGCUGACUUCAAUAUUCUGUAGUGGACAACUGAAUUAAUUGUAGGCUAUUAAUGAUGUGCAUAUUAAAAUUAAGGAAAUACUGAAUUCGAAUCGAGCUAUUGUGAGGUUACAACCCUUUAGUACAGCCUGAUUCCCUGGCCACAGGAAAGAGGAUGUCGAAGGUAUUGGUAGCUGAAUUCA